This 464-nucleotide ribosomal RNA is filed under the name uncultured bacterium. RNAcentral's name for it is "bacterial SSU rRNA". It matches the Rfam family "Bacterial small subunit ribosomal RNA", at positions 338 to 795 of the family's 1533-position model. The record is from RNAcentral.
CCUANGGGGGGCAGCAGUGGGGAAUAUUGGACAAUGGGCGCAAGCCUGAUCCAGCAAUACCGCGUGUGUGAAGAAGGCCCUAGGGUUGUAAAGCACUUUCAAUGGGGAGGAAAACAGUCAGAUUAAUACCCUGGCUCUUGACAUUACCUUUAGAAGAAGCACCGGCUAACUCCGUGCCAGCAGCCGCGGUAAUACGGAGGGUGCGAGCGUUAAUCGGAAUUACUGGGCGUAAAGCGUGCGUAGGCGGUUCGUUAAGUCAGAUGUGAAAGCCCCGGGCUUAACCUGGGAACUGCAUUUGAAACUGGCGAACUAGAGUUUAAUAGAGGGGAGUGGAAUUUCAGGUGUAGCGGUGAAAUGCGUAGAUAGCUGAAGGAACACCAGUGGCGAAGGCGACUCCCUGGAUUAAAACUGACGCUGAGGUACGAAAGCGUGGGUAGCAAACAGGAUUAGAUACCCCANUANUC